RNAcentral lists this ribosomal RNA (1244 nucleotides) under Plectognathotrema kamegaii. Its description in RNAcentral is "eukaryotic LSU rRNA". It matches the Rfam family "Eukaryotic large subunit ribosomal RNA", at positions 81 to 925 of the family's 3401-position model. The record is from RNAcentral. Lineage: Eukaryota; Metazoa; Platyhelminthes; Trematoda; Plagiorchiida; Zoogonidae.
UAGUAACGGCGAGUGAACAGGGAAGAGCCCAGCACCGAAGCCUGUGGUCGGUUGGCCACUAGGCAAUGUGGUGUUCAGGUCGUUCCGCAGAGGCACUGCUCCAUCCUAAGUCCGGCAAUGAUUACGGUAAAACGGACAUGGCCCACAGAGGGUGUAAGGCCCGUGAGGGUGGAGAUUCGCCAGGCCAGUGCUUCUCUGGGUAGACCUUGGAGUCGGGUUGUUUGUGAAUGCAGCCCAAAGUGGGUGGUAAACUCCAUCCAAGGCUAAAUACUUGCACGAGUCCGAUAGCGAACAAGUACCGUGAGGGAAAGUUGAAAAGUACUUUGAAGAGAGAGUAAACAGUGCGUGAAGCCGCUCAGAGGUAAACGGGUGGAAUUGAACUGUGAACAUUGAGGAUUCAGCUGGUGAGUGUGGUUUGGGCUUGGUCAAAUUGGUUAAAGCCUGUGGUCUGCGUAGUAGCAGGUCCUUGUCUUCGGGCGAGGAUGCGCGAUGCACUUAUCAAGUGUUGUGCGCCAUGGGUCAGUAUUGGACCGGCUUGCCAGUGCACUUUCUCUUUGUGAAACCAUGACCGGUAUGCGAUCCGGCUGUUUCGGUUAAACCGGCUGGGUAUUGCCCUUGUGGUAUUAUUUAGUCGGGAUGGCAGGUGGCACUUUGAUUAGUGUGCAGCUCGCUGCGUGCUAAACAUCACUGUGUGUAAGCCGCCGACCGAAAUAGUGCAGUGUCAAAUGUCGGUGACUUUGGCUUGGUGUGAGCAUGCGUGCUAGUUCAGUUGACAAGUUUGGGUUUGGUUGCCAUGUUGCUUGUUUUGCAAGCCUGGUAGUAAUUUUAACUUGUUCAUCUGGCGGCUGCGUGUGUGACAUCGCUUGAGGCCUAUAGUCCAUGGUGUUGCGGUAGAUUAUCCACCCGACCCGUCUUGAAACACGGACCAAGGAGAGUAACAUGUGCGCGAGUCAAUGGGGAUUACGAAACCCAAAGGCGAAGUGAAAGUAAAGGUUCGGCUUGUCCGGACUGAAGUGAGAUCCUGCUGUGUCUCGCACGCGGUACUACCAAGUGUAGAACAGUGGGCGCAUCACUGGCCCGUCCCAUGAUGCAUUUUGACCAAUCGGGGCGGAGCAUGAGCGUACACGUUGAGACCCGAAAGAUGGUGAACUAUGCUUGCGCAGGUUGAAGCCAGAGGAAACUCUGGUGGAGGACCGCAACGUUUCUGACGUGCAAAUCGAUCGCCAGACGUGAGUAUAGGGGCG